This 440-nucleotide ribosomal RNA is filed under the name uncultured bacterium. RNAcentral describes it as "partial 16S ribosomal RNA". It matches the Rfam family "Bacterial small subunit ribosomal RNA", at positions 338 to 795 of the family's 1533-position model. The record is from RNAcentral.
CCUACGGGGUGCAGCAGUGGGGAAUAUUGGAUAAUGGGGGAAACCCUGAUCCAGCGACGCCGCGUGAGUGAAGAAGUAUUUCGGUACGUAAAGCUCUAUCAGCAGGAAAGAAAAUGACGGUACCUGACUAAGAAGCCACGGCUAACUACGUGCCAGCAGCCGCGGUAAUACGUAGGGGGCAAGCGUUAUCCGGAUUUACUGGGUGUAAAGGGAGCGUAGACGGCAGCGCAAGUCUGGAGUGAAAUGCCGGGGCUCAACCCCGGAACUGCUCUGGAUACUGUGCAGCUAGAGUGCAGGAGAGGUAAGCGGAAUUCCUGGUGUAGCGGUGAAAUGCGUAGAUAUCAGGAGGAACACCGGCGGCGAAGGCGGCUUACUGGACUGUAACUGACGUUGAGGCUCGAAGGCGUGGGGAGCAAACAGGAUUAGAUACCCGAGUAGUC